Hyaena hyaena (striped hyena) is the source of this 644-nucleotide long non-coding RNA. RefSeq lists it as uncharacterized. The record is from RefSeq and is a predicted model, not a curated record. Lineage: Eukaryota; Metazoa; Chordata; Mammalia; Carnivora; Hyaenidae. The transcript has 5 exons.
CCACCCAGGCGCCCCGGGAAAGUCCUUCUUGUCCCACGAGAUGUGACCCUCCUGGGACCCAGCCACCCUGCAAGGACAUAGCCUGGUCAGUGGAAUGCAGGCUGGACCCUGCCCUCUGAUAUCUCGCCCGAUGAAGGACUGCCUCCGCGUGCCUCCCGCGGGAGGUUUCGGGUUUGAACUGGACACGGCAAGCAUGUCACCGGCCAUCGAACGCAGGUGGUGAACGUCUCUAUUUGGGCAGGGCCUCCGGCACCCAGCUUCCGCCUACCUGGCACCAGGAUCCUGGAGAGGGCCUCGGGCUGCCCCAGCGUGUCCACCUUCACGUGCCGGAACGCCUUGCACACGGGGCUCUGCAGAACUCAUAGACCACGAAGGUGAAGCCAUCCGCCAGCCUCACUGCCGCGACGCUGGGAGGGGAGAGGCUCCAGGUAGAGGGCCAGCCUCCUCUGCACGCCCCCCAAGGCAGAUGCCCCCCCCCCACGCCUAGCGGAGGUGGGAGGGGCCCCCAGCACCUGUCGCCAGGCUGGCCCAGAAGGUGGCCAAGAAAUACUCCCUGAACGAACUACAAUGAAAAGGACACUUGAAAAGGUUCUAUUGUCACCUAAAAAUCCCACCUUUAAAAAAUAAAAGCACCUUCCUUCUGC